This 253-nucleotide ribosomal RNA is filed under the name uncultured bacterium. Its description in RNAcentral is "partial 16S ribosomal RNA". It matches the Rfam family "Bacterial small subunit ribosomal RNA", at positions 524 to 776 of the family's 1533-position model. The record is from RNAcentral.
UACGUAGGGUGCAAGCGUUAAUCGGAAUUACUGGGCGUAAAGCGUGCGCAGGCGGUUUUGCAAGACAGGUGUGAAAUCCCCGGGCUUAACCUGGGAACUGCACUUGUGACUGCACGGCUUGAGUGCGGCAGAGGGGGAUGGAAUUCCGCGUGUAGCAGUGAAAUGCGUAGAUAUGCGGAGGAACACCGAUGGCGAAGGCAAUCCCCUGGGCCUGCACUGACGCUCAUGCACGAAAGCGUGGGGAGCAAACAGG